CAAAUACUCCCUCCGUCCGGAAAUACUUGUCAUCAAAAUGGAUAAAAGGAAAUGCAUCUAGACGUAUUUUAGUUUUAGAUACAUAUCUUUUUAUACAUUUUGAUGACAAGUAUUUUCGGACGGAGGGAGUAGAAA
Molecule: non-coding RNA, 135 nt
Organism: Triticum urartu
Lineage: Eukaryota; Viridiplantae; Streptophyta; Magnoliopsida; Poales; Poaceae
Source: Rfam